CCUACGGGUGGCAGCAGUAGGGAAUAUUGCUCAAUGGGGGAAACCCUGAAGCAGCAACGCCGCGUGGUGGAUGAAGGUUUUAGGGUUGUAAACUCCUUUUGUUAGAGAGGAUUAUGACGGUAUCUAACGAAUAAGCACCGGCUAACUCCGUGCCAGCAGCCGCGGUAAUACGGAGGGUGCAAGCGUUACUCGGAAUCACUGGGCGUAAAGAGUGCGUAGGCGGGGUGAUAAGUCAGAUGUGAAAUCCGGUGGCUUAACUACAGAACUGCAUUUGAAAUUGGUACGCUGGAGUGCGGGAGAGGUAAGUGGAAUUCGUGGUGUAGGGGUAAAAUCCGUAGAGAUCAAGAGGAAUA
This 353-nucleotide ribosomal RNA is filed under the name uncultured bacterium. RNAcentral describes it as "partial 16S ribosomal RNA". It matches the Rfam family "Bacterial small subunit ribosomal RNA", at positions 338 to 708 of the family's 1533-position model. The record is from RNAcentral.